AUUGCUUCUUGGCCUUUUGGCUAAGAUCAAGUGUAGUAUGUAAUCUGCAUGGCAUGAUUUCCACUUAGGUUGCUUAUUAGUAAACAACUUAACCUCUCUGUGUUUCAAUUCCCCCAUUAGAUUUCACCUUACAAGGUCAUUGUGGGGAUUACCUAAA
Molecule: small nuclear RNA, 157 nt
Organism: Ictidomys tridecemlineatus (thirteen-lined ground squirrel)
Lineage: Eukaryota; Metazoa; Chordata; Mammalia; Rodentia; Sciuridae
Gene: U2
Rfam family: U2 spliceosomal RNA
About the family: U2 is a small nuclear RNA (snRNA) component of the spliceosome (involved in pre-mRNA splicing). Complementary binding between U2 snRNA (in an area lying towards the 5' end but 3' to hairpin I) and the branchpoint sequence (BPS) of the intron results the bulging out of an unpaired adenosine, on the BPS, which initiates a nucleophilic attack at the intronic 5' splice site, thus starting the first of two transesterification reactions that mediate splicing.
Source: Ensembl